CAGCAGCCGCGGGAAUACAUAGGGUGCGAGCGUUAAUCGGAAUUACUGGGCGUAAAGCGUGCGCAGGCGGUUAUAUAAGACAGAUGUGAAAUCCCCGGGCUCAACCUGGGACCUGCAUUCGUGACUGUAUAGCCAGAGUACGGUAGAGGGGGAUGGAAUUCCGCGUGUAGCAGUGAAAUGCGUAGAUAUGCGGAGGAACACCGAUGGCGUAGGCAAUCCCCUGGACCUGUACUGACGCUCAUGCACGAAAGCGUGGGGAGCAAACAGGAUUAGAUACCCCGGUAGUCCCUGUCUCUUAUAC
This 301-nucleotide ribosomal RNA is filed under the name uncultured bacterium. RNAcentral describes it as "partial 16S ribosomal RNA". It matches the Rfam family "Bacterial small subunit ribosomal RNA", at positions 509 to 807 of the family's 1533-position model. The record is from RNAcentral.